GAUGAACGCUGGCGGCGUGCUUAACACAUGCAAGUCGAACGGUGAAGGCGGAGCUUGCUCUGCUGGAUCAGUGGCGAACGGGUGAGUAACACGUGAGCAAUCUGCCCCUGACUCUGGGAUAAGCGCUGGAAACGGCGUCUAAUACUGGAUACGAGCUGCGAAGGCAUCUUCAGCAGCUGGAAAGAAUUUCGGUCAGGGAUGAGCUCGCGGCCUAUCAGCUUGUUGGUGAGGUAAUGGCUCACCAAGGCGUCGACGGGUAGCCGGCCUGAGAGGGUGACCGGCCACACUGGGACUGAGACACGGCCCAGACUCCUACGGGAGGCAGCAGUGGGGAAUAUUGCACAAUGGGCGAAAGCCUGAUGCAGCAACGCCGCGUGAGGGACGACGGCCUUCGGGUUGUAAACCUCUUUUAGCAGGGAAGAAGCGAAAGUGACGGUACCUGCAGAAGAAGCGCCGGCUAACUACGUG
Molecule: ribosomal RNA, 468 nt
Filed under: uncultured bacterium
Lineage: Bacteria
Description: partial 16S ribosomal RNA
Rfam family: Bacterial small subunit ribosomal RNA
Source: RNAcentral